UACGAAGGGGGCUAUCGUUGUUCGGAAUCACUGGGCGUAAAGCGCACGUAGGCGGAUUGUUAAGUCAGGUGUGAAAUCCCGAGGCUCAACCUCGGAACUGCCCUCGAAACUGGCUGGCUAGAGUCCCGGAGAGGGUGGCGGAAUUCCCGGUGUAGGGGUGAAAUCCGUAGAUAUCGGGAGGAACACCAGUGGCGAAGGCGGCCACCUGGACGGUGACUGACGCUGAGACGCGAAAGCGUGGGGAGAAAACAGG
This 253-nucleotide ribosomal RNA is filed under the name uncultured bacterium. RNAcentral's name for it is "partial 16S ribosomal RNA". It matches the Rfam family "Bacterial small subunit ribosomal RNA", at positions 524 to 776 of the family's 1533-position model. The record is from RNAcentral.